RNAcentral lists this ribosomal RNA (718 nucleotides) under uncultured bacterium. RNAcentral describes it as "bacterial SSU rRNA". It matches the Rfam family "Bacterial small subunit ribosomal RNA", at positions 8 to 722 of the family's 1533-position model. The record is from RNAcentral.
AGAGUUUGAUCCUGGCUCAGAUUGAACGCUGGCGGAAUGCUUUACACAUGCAAGUCGAGCGGCAGCGCGGGGCAACCUGGCGGCGAGCGGCGAACGGGUGAGUAAUGCAUCGGAACAUGUCCAUGUCGUGGGGGAUAGCCCGGCGAAAGCCGGAUUAAUACCGCAUACGCCCGAGAGGGGAAAGUGGGGGACCGCAAGGCCUCACGCGAUUGGGUUGGCCGAUGUCCGAUUAGCUAGUUGGCGGGGUAAGAGCCCACCAAGGCGAUGAUCGGUAGCUGGUCUGAGAGGAUGAUCAGCCACACUGGGACUGAGACACGGCCCANACUCCUACGGGAGGCAGCAGUGGGGAAUUUUGGACAAUGGGGGCAACCCUGAUCCAGCCAUUCCGCGUGAGUGAAGAAGGCCUUCGGGUUGUAAAGCUCUUUUGUCCGGAACGAAACGGUUGGCGUGAAUAUCGCCGACUACUGACGGUACCGGAAGAAUAAGCACCGGCUAACUACGUGCCAGCAGCCGCGGUAAUACGUAGGGUGCGAGCGUUAAUCGGAAUUACUGGGCGUAAAGCGUGCGCAGGCGGUUUUGUAAGCCAGAUGUGAAAUCCCCGGGCUUAACCUGGGAAUGGCAUUUGGGACUGCAANGCUGGAGUGUGGCAGAGGAGACUGGAAUUCCCGGUGUAGCAGUGAAAUGCGUAGAUAUCGGGAGGAAUACCGAUGGCGAAGGC